AUGAAGGCUCCACACCUUCCCUUUUCAUGCAAAUUCAAUGAUAAUAAAACCUUAGCUUCUUAUGCUAAUGGUAGAUAUGAUUACUAUGAUGUGGAACAAAUAGAAGAAUUCGUUGCUUUUAUGGGUGCUUAUGAGAUUGAAUCUAUGUUUAAAGAGUUUGAUGAUUUUGAUGAUUUAGUUUAUAGACCUGAAAAUUUUGCUAUACUUAGAUAUUGCUAUGAAAAUUAUGAAUUCAAUUCCAAUAUUGAUGCAAUUAUUGAGAAAGUCUCCACUGUCAAAGAAGAGACUAAUAUUUUGCAGGAGUCUAUGGAAGAAGAAAUUGAUGAAACUGUGAGCUCAUUGGAUGAAAAAGAUGAUGAGGAGAGCGAAGAACAAAAGGAGGAAGAGCGGAUUAGCUACCCGUGCCCACCUUCUAAUGAGAGUAACUCUUCAACUCAUACAUUUUUUAAUUCCCCUUCAUGA
This 462-nucleotide ribosomal RNA is filed under the name Triticum aestivum (bread wheat). RNAcentral's name for it is "partial small subunit ribosomal RNA". Lineage: Eukaryota; Viridiplantae; Streptophyta; Magnoliopsida; Poales; Poaceae. The record is from RNAcentral.